AACGCACAUUGCGCCCCUUGGUAUUCCAUGGGGCAUGCCUGUUCGAGCGUCAUCUACACCCUCAAGCACUGCUUGGUGUUGGGCGUCUGUCCCGCCUUUGCGCGUGGACUCGCCCCAAAGUCAUUGGCAGCGGUCUCUGGCACCUCAACGCGCAGUACAAUGCGUCCGUCGGGGUGCCGUGGGCGCGACCAUAAGCUAUUUACCGUCUUUGACCUCGGAUCAGGUAGGGAUACCCGCUGAACUUAA
This 246-nucleotide unclassified non-coding RNA is filed under the name Letendraea sp. RNAcentral describes it as "partial contains 5.8S ribosomal RNA, internal transcribed spacer 2, and large subunit ribosomal RNA". The record is from RNAcentral. RNAcentral also lists the same sequence under 1 other name. Lineage: Eukaryota; Fungi; Ascomycota; Dothideomycetes; Pleosporales; Didymosphaeriaceae.